UACGUAGGGUGCGAGCGUUACUCGGAAUUACUGGGCGUAAAGCGUGCGUAGGCGGUUUGUUAAGUCUGUUGUGAAAGCCCCGGGCUCAACCUGGGAAUGGCAAUGGAUACUGGCAAGCUAGAGUGCUGUAGAGGGUAGUGGAAUUCCCGGUGUAGCGGUGAAAUGCGUAGAGAUCGGGAGGAACACCAGUGGCGAAGGCGGCUCCCUGGACCAGCACUGACACUGAGGCACGAAAGCGUGGGGAGCAAACAGG
This 253-nucleotide ribosomal RNA is filed under the name uncultured bacterium. RNAcentral's name for it is "partial 16S ribosomal RNA". It matches the Rfam family "Bacterial small subunit ribosomal RNA", at positions 524 to 776 of the family's 1533-position model. The record is from RNAcentral.